GAUGAACGCUGACAGAAUGCUUAACACAUGCAAGUCUAUGAGAAGAUCUACUUCGGUAGAAGGUUAUCAUGGCGGACGGGUGAGUAACGCGUAAAGAACUUGCCUCUUAGACUGGGAUAACAGAUGGAAACGUCUGAUAAGACUAGAUAUAAUAAUGACAUGGCAUCAUGUUGUUAUGAAAGGCAACACUAAGAGAGAGCUUUGCGUCCUAUUAGUUAGUUGGUGAGGUAAUGGCUCACCAAGACGAUGAUAGGUAGCCGGCCUGAGAGGGUGAACGGCCACAAGGGGACUGAGAUACGGCCCUUACUCUUACGGGAGGCAGCAGUGGGGAAUAUUGGGACAAUGGAGGAAACGUCUGAUCCAGCAAUUCUGUGUGCACGAUGAAGGUUUUCGGAUCGUAAAGUGCUUUCAGUAGGGAAGAAGAAAGUGACGGUACCUACAGAAGAAGCGACGGCUAAAUACGUGCCAGCAGCCGCGGUAAAACGU
RNAcentral lists this ribosomal RNA (486 nucleotides) under uncultured bacterium. RNAcentral describes it as "bacterial SSU rRNA". It matches the Rfam family "Bacterial small subunit ribosomal RNA", at positions 28 to 528 of the family's 1533-position model. The record is from RNAcentral.